RNAcentral lists this long non-coding RNA (10705 nucleotides) under Capsella rubella. Its description in RNAcentral is "long non-coding RNA (CRUB_LNC001721)". Lineage: Eukaryota; Viridiplantae; Streptophyta; Magnoliopsida; Brassicales; Brassicaceae. The record is from RNAcentral.
CAGAAGUUAUUAAAGCAGUUAUCUUUUAUGAGAUCUUCGAUUAUUGGAAGUAAAAUCGAGAAUGUACACGUCAAAGAAUCCAGUUAAUUAGCUUUGAUCCUGUAAAUCAAAAAGAUCACAAUUUUUAAAAACAAUAUAAAGCAAGUUGCCGAUAUCAUCGUUAGAAAUUUGAAACUAUUGACAAAAGUUAAUCCUCUUUUAAUUUCAGAAUCAACUAAUUGCUAAAUCUUAGUAACUACAUUAAUUUUUGUCCUUAAAAUUCGUCUUCUUAUUCAAUCAAAUGCAUAUUAGUUUUUAAUACAUUCAAUAUCAAUAUAUUCACAUACACCAUAAUGUCAAUUAUGCACGUAGUAUCUACCAUAAUCUACACAUAGUAUUAGUAGUAUUAGUCACGCAAAACUCGGUUAUAGUAGUUAAUUAAACCAAUGAAUAUUCGCCACAAAAUCAUCACAUAAUAUUCCUUAAUCUCAACGAGUCAUAACACAAUCUAACCUAACAUAAUAUGCCACAAAAUCAUCACAUAAUAUUCCUUAAUAUCAACGAGUCAUAACACAAUCUAACCUAACAUUCUACUACGCCUAUAUAAAUUAAAGCAUCCAUUCUACACUAAACAUUAUACACCAGCACUAAAACAGAAAAAACGAUGGCUUCAAACAAUUGUUUUACAUCAUUGGCAGACAUCAAACCAUUCAAGACGUCAUGGAAAAUAAAAGUGAAGAUCAUCCAUACCUGGAAACAGUUUACAACCUACACAGGAGAGACCAUCGAGAUGAUUCUAGCAGAUGUUGAUGUAAGUUAUUCAUUUGUCCUCCCAAAGUAUACCUACAAUCAUUCAUAUAUAUAUAUAUGAUUGUAAUCAAUGUUUUUCUUUUUGUAGGGUACAUUAAUCCAUGCUACAAUCAAAAAACAACAGUUGAAUAAAUUUCAACGCUUCAUUGUUUAUGGAGAAUGGAGAAUCAUUGAAAACUUUCAACUCACACGAUCUGCUGGAAAGUACAGAGCAACCAAGCAUACUUACAAGAUGUCGAUUAUGAAUUCAACACUCAUAUCGAAAUGUCCUUCAUUGUCAAAUGAUUUCUUCUUGGAUUUAGCUACCUUUGAUGAUAUUCUCGCUGAAGAUGUGUUGAAUGAACACAUCCUGAUUGGUAAUUUAAAUUUCUUUAGACUUUUACUACUAUUUAACAGUAGCUACUUUAUAUUUCUAAAGUUUAAAUAUUUCAUUAUAUGCAGAUGUCCUUGGUCAGGUUGUUGCUGUUGGUGAGAUGAAAACAUCAUCUCAAAAUGACAAACCAAAAAAAAGAUUGGAGAUUGAACUUAGAGAUACCAGGUAAUCGGAUGUAAGAUUCAUGUUUACUAUGUUAAUUCUUAAUUUACAAGUUUUUAACAUGUUCAUCUAUUUUUGAUUAUAGCGAUCAGCGGCUACAAUGUACUUUAUGGGGCAAGUUUGCAGAUUCAAUGUGGGAAGCUACCAGAAAUGGAGCUGGUGGAUCAGUAAUUUGUUUGCUACGUUGUGCUAAAAUCAACACUUACAAUGGUCAGAUUUCUAAUUCUACAACUUAACGUGUUAUGUUAUAAAUGAUAAACAAUUCUAUCCGGGAUUAGAGUUUCUAUUACUAUUGUUUUCAGGUGAGAGAUCAGUUACAAAUGCAUUUGACAUGUCUCUCAUGCAAAUCAACUCAGACCACACCGCUGUCGGUGAUUUUAUUGCUGAGUAUGUUUAUAAUUUUCGUCAAAUACAUUUAAUUGCAAUAUCUACAUAUCUAACCAAAAUACUAUUAUAAACGGCUUAUAUAUUUAUUUUCUUUCAAACUACAGUUUACCCAAAGAUGAUUUGCAAAUUGUCUUCCUGGCUAAAGAAUCAACAGAUCGGAUCUUGAAAAAGGACAAGGAUGAUUACAUCAACCAAUAUCCAAUGAGCACCAUUUCCGAUCUGUUGGAAGCUACUUCGGUAACUCUAUUUCUACUUAAAUCUAACCAUGUCCUAGAGUUUCUAAUGACUAAUAGUAUGAAUGAACAUGAUAAAUAGGAAGGAAAGAUGAAGAUAAUGGCAACCAUAUAUAACAUAGAUAUGGAAUUUGGUUGGUAUUAUUUUACCUGUCUCAAAUGUAAACAAACUUGCUACUUGAUCCCAAAAGUUGAGAAUGUAACUUACAGUAAACCAAGAAAGCCUUUGUUUUACUGUAAAACAUGCGUGCAAGAUGUAACCAAGGCUGUUUCCAGGUCAGUUUGUACAGUUAUGAUUUGUCUUAAACAUAUUAUGCGAAUUGUUUUUAGUGUUUUAUCAUGUGAACUAUUUCUUUUAUGUAUUUUCAUCAGGUUCAAACUGACUCUUGAUGUUAUGGACAACACCGGGGAGUCAAAGUUCAUCUUAUUUGAUACAAAUGCUUAUAAGAUUGUGAAUCAUACUACAACUGAACUUUUGGAAGGCAAUUAUGAUGAGGUAAUCUUACAUACUAUACAAUGUCCUCAUCUGCUAUAAAAUCCAAACACCUAACUAAGACAUAUAUGCCUAAAUUGCAGAUAUCAGACCCAAAAGAUGUCCCACUCGCUCUUAAGAACUUAGUUGGAAAGACAUUUAAGUUUCUUGCAUCAAUUCACACUGCAAACAUCACAGAAGGCAAAGAAAGUUACAAGUGUUCUUAUGUGGAGAUGGGUGAUUCUACAACUAAUGUGGAUAACAUAGAAGAUUCUGAAAUUCAAGCUGAUCCUAAGGAUGUGAUUUCUAUGGUAACAGAAAUAGUUUCACUACAUAUUGAAUGUUUAAUUCUUACAGUAUUUACCAAUUUAUAUAAUAAAACGAAUGUAUUUUGUAGGACAACCAGUGUAGUUCAAGAAGCAAUGAAACAAGGGAUGGUAAUGGAACUGCUACUACUACACCAUCAUCCAAACGUAAAGAAGACCCUACUGAUCAAGCAGAACAAUCAUCAACUUCUAAGAAACUUUGUCUACCAUCAAUAAAAAGUGCUAUUGAAAGUGAAAAUGUCGAUGUGGCCAAUGCAAAUGUGGAUGAGGCCUCUGAAUCAGAAGGAGAAGAAGAGGAGAAGAAGAGGAGAAGGAAGACUAAGUUCAUUAAACUUAUUCAUUUUCAGAAACUUUUUUAAAAUUUAUUUUCCCAUUUGGUUUAAUUUAGUUUUCAAUAAAGUAGUAUGGUUUUUUCAUGUUUGGUAUUAACUUAUUGCAUAAGCAGUAACUUAAUACUCAAAACAUUUUUCCAUAUUAUUAUUUGCUUAUGUAUUUGUAACUUUGGUUUAAUUCAAUUCUUUUUGAGCAACUCUUUUUGAGCAAUAUGAGAUGACUUUCUAAUUUUAUUCAAAACCAUAUACACCGUACAUUCAAAUUAAUAUUAACAGACGUUGGUAACAACUUAAGAUAGUACAGAUUGAAAUCACUCAUAAUAAUUAUUUAAGUAUAUUUAAAUUAUAAAACUAAAAAAAAAGGUAGGGAGAAAAUACCUUAUCAUUGUUAUCCCGUGGAAAACAUAUUGUUGUGUUUAGUCUCUUCUUUCUAACCAAAUCGAUUCCUCCAGCAGCCGCUAAUAACAAAUAACAAAUUAAAGUUAUUAGUGAAUAUUAGACUCACUAUUUUUAUGCAAAUUAAUAUAAUAGAUUACACUAAACACAACAAAUGAAAGAACAAUCAUUUAGUUAAUAUACUGGAGAUAUUAAAAAUAUACCAAGAAUCAAUUAGUUCCCAUUUCUAAGCAAAAUAUCUUAAAAUUUGUUACCAAAACUGAUGUCGUAAAGGAUUUUCCCCCACAUUAGUACUAAGAUAUUUCAAUAUUACUGAAAUCAUACCAAUCAACAUAACCAUUCAGAGAAGAAUUAUGAAGAAAAGGAGAAACGAUGUACUUGAUAGGUCAGAUAGGUUUGAUGAACUCAAAAACUCAAAGAGGGUAAGGUCACCAAUCAACAAGGAGAAUAUCAAUCCCAACAUUCAAAAACCUAUUCGGAGUACUGUCAAAGUCACAAGUAUUUUCAAAAAAGUUUUCUCUGCUUUGAAUCAAAAAACUGUCAUUAGACCCAACAUUCCCAAUCACCAAAGUCAACCAUCUCUUUCAUAUGAUCAGGCUGGUAUAUCUGGUAAGCAAACAAACUUUACAGGCUUAUUACAGUACAAACAUAAUAAUUUAAGUAUCUUAUCUAUUGAAAUCAGUAAAGUUAAUGGCUAAUAUAUUCUCAUAUGUAUCAAGUAGGUUCUACAAUACAUUCAGUCAGGACAACAAGGACAGUUCUAGGAGAUUUAACUAACAUUAAUCUUCGUUCCAACCUUGGUACGGUACAACAAUCAAACAAAAGAAAACAAACACACAGCAGCAAAAGCAAAGAAAAUGAACAACCAGGAACGUUCCUACCAGGUUAAGCCUCUAUUAUCUUAGUUUAGUGUUAAAAGAAGUCAUAUACAUAAUGUGGUUAAAGUUUGACAAUCAUGCAACAGAAUCUACAGCAAAUUCAUGUUGCACAGUAUUGGAUAAGUCAGUAGCUUACCAAGAAACUCCCCCAACCAAAAAAAGAGCAGCAAACAUUCUGACAACACAUAAAAGUCCACCAUCAGUCAAUAGCAAGCAAGGUAUAAAGAAUGCAUUCCAAACAUAUUUUUAUCAAUUAUAAUUGUAUAAAGUCUAUUUUUUAUGUGGAAUAUCAGUCAAUUGUCAUUUCCUGUUUACCAAACAAUAGGCUUGAGACAAGGACUCAUAAUCACUAGGCGUCCAACAUCUUUACGGUUUGCUAAAUCAAUUGCACGACAAUGGAGACCACCUGGUGUAACUAAUAACAUUCCUUCGAGAAACACAGAUUUCACCACUCAAAAAGAGACAGUGCUAAAGACUGUAAUAAAAGAGAUUCCAGCAGUAACCACAGGUAAUAUGCAUCUUUUUCGUUGUCAAUCAUCGUUUUAAAAUCACUAUUAAACAAUUUGUGAUCAAUGCGGUUAAUCUGAGUUUAAUAUUACUAAAAUCUGUCUAACAGAAGAACAGACAUACCAAUGCACCAGCAGUAGUGAAGGACCAGACUCCGAACCUUCAGAUGAUGACUCUGAAAUAGAGAUUGUGACUCCAGAAGUUAGAAAAGGGUUUCAGAUUCUUAAUAUGUUAGAUGAAAGUUUAACAAAGGCUUUUGGUACAAAUCAAAGAAAAACAGUGAGACCAAAAACUAGAAAGAAAGAAACAGGUAAAAUACUAAACAUAUCAUUACACCAAUCCAUUUACUAUUAUCACACUAAAGUAGGUUUAUGUGAGUUUUAACAUUUGCUUUGAAAACAGAUUAUCUUGACCAUGGGGAUCCUACAUAUUCAUGUAGUUAUUGUGGAGCUAUUAUGUGGUAUGGUGAACGUAUUAACAGACAUAAAAGGGAUCGUAACCCAACAUUCUCCCAAUGCUGUUUACAAGGAUCAGUACAGUUGCCUUUUUUGCAUAAUCAGCCUGAGUUGUUGUUUGCUUUGCUAACAAACGAUGAUGAAUUGAGUCGCCAUUUCAGAGAAAAUAUCAGAGCAUACAAUAUGAUAUUUUCUUUCACAUCACUCGGUGGAAGUUGUGAGAACACGGUUCUUAAAGGCCGUGGUCCUAAUAUGUUUCAAAUACAAGGCGAGAAUUAUCAUCUACUUGGUAGUCUAAAGCCUGAAGUUGGUGAAUUCCCAAAGUUUUCACAGUUGUAUAUCGUCGAUACAGAGAAUGAAGUCCAAAACAGAGCUGGUAUUCUAAGGUAUAUUUUUUACUACACUACCAAAUGAAACAUCACGUACAUUAAAAUGAUUGAUUAAGAUGGCUCUAAUUGGAGUUCACAAUUUUUUUUUCCAGCAAAGCCAAAAACGCAGGGAAGUAUAAGAAAAAACAGAAUCUCAUACCAGAAAUUAUUCAAGCAAUAAUAAAGUUACUCGAUGAUGUCAACCCCUAUGUUGAAAAUUUCAGAUCAGCAAAGGAAAGGAUGGAUACUAAUCCUGAAGAAAGUUUUCACAUGAGGAUAGUAAGUGAUCGGAAAAAAGAUGGAAGAACAUACGCUGUUCCCACAGCUAAUGAGGUCGCCGCAUUGAUCCCAGGAGAUUUUCAUUUAGGUAUGCCAACUCGUGAUAUAGUUGUUGAAGAAAAAGGUGGGGAUUUACAAAGAAUCAAAGAGACACAUCCAUCAUAUCUAGCUCUACAAUAUCCUUUAUUAUUCCCUAAAGGAGAAGAUGGUUACAGACCUGGAAUAAAGAAACGUCCUAAAGCUGUGAAAAAGAAAAGCCAAGCUGAUAAAGAGAAGGAGAAUGACUGCAUAAGUCUGCGUCAGUGGUUUGCAUUCCGUAUACAGGAAAGGAAGAAUGAGUCAAGAAAUCUGCUUAUGUCUAAAAGAUUGUUCCAGCAGUUCUUAGUAGAUGCUUACACGACAAUUGAGACAAACAGGCUGAGUUUUAUAAAGCAGAAUCAGUCAAGUUUGAGGGCGGCUAAUUAUGACAAGGUCAAGGAUGCUGCUAUAGAGGGGAUCACAGAUAUGAAUGACCAAGGAAGCAAAUAUUACUUACCCGCUACUUUUGUUGGUGGACCUAGAUAUAUGAGAAAUAUGUAUCUUGAUGCAAUGGCGGUUUGUAAAUUUCAUGGCUUUCCAGAUCUCUUCAUCACUUUCACAUGCAACUCAAAAUGGCCAGAGGUGGUUAGAUUUUGUAAAGAAAGAAACUUGAAUCCAGAUGAUAGGCCAGAUAUAAUAAGCAGAGUGUUCAAGAUGAAGUUAAAUUCUCUAAUGGAUGAUUUUACCAAGAAACACAUCUUAGGGAAAACUGUGUCAUGUGAGUACUUAUCUAUACUUGAAACUCCAUUACUUAUUUAGUGAAGUUAUCUUAUGUGCCGUUAAUAAUUAUGCCUUGCUAUGUUUUAAAUUGUGAACAGCGAUGUAUACAAUCGAGUUUCAAAAACGAGGACUACCACAUGCGCACAUCUUGCUAUGGAUGCAUCCUGAUUACAAGUUCCCAAAAGCAGAAGACAUUGACAAAAUUAUUUCUGCAGAGAUACCAGACAAGACUAGGGAACCAGAACUACAUCAAAUUGUCAAAGAUUGCAUGAUUCAUGGACCAUGUGGUGCUAUUAAUAUGAAUUCUCCAUGUAUGGAAGACGGGAAAUGUUCAAAGUUCUACCCAAAGAAGCAUGUUGAUCACACUACAGUUGAUAAGGAAGGGUUUCCAGUAUACAGGAGAAGGAAAACAAAGCACUAUAUUGAGAAGAAUGGUUUUAAGUGUGAUAAUCGCUAUGUUAUACCAUAUAACAAGGUGUUGUCACUAAGAUACAAGGCUCACAUCAAUGUUGAGUGGUGCAAUCAAACAGGUUCAAUCAAAUACUUAUUCAAGUAUAUUCACAAAGGUUUGGAUCGUGUAUAUGUUGUUGUUGAGCCAUCGUGUAAAGAUAAAGAAGAAGAUAAGAGUUCUAGCCGCAGGAAAAAGCAAAAAAAAGAGAGUAAUCAGAAUGUUUCUGGGAGUAGUAGUUCAAAUGAGAUAAAAGACUUCUUUGAUUGCAGGUUUGUUAUAAAAAAAUUUGUUUCACUGUUUGAUAUCUUCGUAUAUAAAUUAUCAUGUCAGAAUGUUCUGAUAUUGUCUUAAUGUAAUUAUGGUGACUUUAAAUGCAGAUAUGUGUCGGCAUGCGAAGCAGCAUGGAGAAUUUUGAAGAAUCCUAUCUGUUACAGAUCUACAGCAGUUCAAAGGUUGUCCUUCCAUUUGCCGGGAAAACAAAUGGUCUUUUUCAAGGGAGAUGAUGAAGUACAAACAGUUCUUAAUAGGGGGGAGUCAGUUCUAUCUAUGUUUCUGGCAUGGUUUGAACUUAAUAAGGUAUCAGAACUAGCCAGGGAACUCACGUAUGCAGAGAUACCCGAGUAUUUUACGUGGGAUAAAAAAAGGAAACAGUUUAAUGAGAGGAAGAGACCAGGUUCUACGAUUGGAAGAAUUAACUAUGUUCCAAUUAGUAUAGAAGAUGGAUACUACCUCAGAAUGCUGCUGAACACACAAAAAGGUCCCAAGAGUUUUGAUGAUAUCAAAAAAGUCAAAGGAGUAGUUUAUAAAACAUUCAAAGAGACAUGUUUUCAUCUGGGAUUACUAGACAAUGAUCAGGAAUAUAUAGAUGACAUAGUAAGAACAAGUUUCUGGAGUAGUGGAAGCUUUUUACGUCGUCUAUUCGUUGUGAUGCUACUGUCUUAUAGUUUGUCUCAACCAGAAAUUGUUUGGGAAAAGACUUGGGAACUACUUUCAGAUGACAUUGAAAAAGAAAGGAGAGACUAUUUCAACCGACCAGGUAAUACUAAAUAUCAAUACUAUUUUCGUAUACACAUUCUGAUUACGGAAUUUUAUAUUAAUUCUUUUGUAAUAAUUUCUGUAGAACUAACUCUAGAUGAUGAGGAGAAGAAGAAUUUCGCAUUACUGAACAUUGAUAGUAUCUUGAAAAGCAAUGGAACAUCUCUAUCAGCCUUUCGGACCAUGCCACAAAUACCAAAAGAAAGUCUGGAUGGGACUAAUGUUUUGAUACUUGACGAGAAAAACUAUAAUCGUGAAGAACAGAAAGAAAAACAUGACAGAUGGGUAAAACAAAUGACAGAUGAGCAGAAACAUAUCUACGAUGAGAUCAUGGAAGCAGUGGAUAGUGAUAAAGGUGGUGUAUUCUUUGUUUAUGGUUUUGGAGGUACAGGGAAAACUUUCCUUUACAAGACCCUAUCAGCAGCUUUGAGAUCUAGAGGAUCUAUUGUGCUAAAUGUUGCUUCCAGUGGCAUUGCUUCUUUGUUGCUAGCUGGUGGUAGAACUGCACACUCAAGGUUCGGAAUUCCGAUAAACCCUCACGAAACAAGUGUAUGUACAAUGAGCGCAGGGACGGAUCAAGCACAAUUGGUGGCUGAAGCUUCUUUAAUUAUAUGGGAUGAAGCCCCAAUGAUGAGCAAACAUUGCUUUGAGUCUUUGGAUAGAAGUCUAUCUGAUAUUCUAAAAGGAGCUGGGAACAAACCAUUUGGAGGUAAAGUGGUUGUCUUUGGAGGAGAUUUCAGACAGGUCUUACCCAUUAUACCUAAUGCUGGUAGAGCUGAAAUUUGCAUGUCUGCCCUAAAUGCGUCAUAUAUAUGGGAUCAUUGUAAAGUUCUGAAGCUUACCAAAAACAUGAGGCUCCUAGCUAAUAAUUUGAGUCCAACAGAGGCAAAAGAGCUAAAGAACUUCUCAGAGUGGAUAUUGGCUGUUGGAGAUGGGAAGAUAGCUGAACCUAACGAUGGUGAAGUCAUGAUUGAUAUUCCAGAAGAGUUUUUGAUCACUGAAUCUACUGACCCUAUUGAAGCUAUAACCAGAGAAGUAUAUGGCGAUCCAAUGUGUUUGAAGGACAAAAAAAAUCCAAUCUUCUUUCAGGAGAGAGCUAUUUUAUGUCCAACAAACGAGGAUGUGGGCAUUAUUAAUGAAUAUAUGCUUGAUCAGCUAGAAGGUUAGUAUAAUCUCCUAAUCUAUUUAUAUUCAAGUUUUAAAAGAAUGGUUAAGCUAUUUAUAAAACGUUUUAUAGCUACUAUUAAUAGUUAUGUCAUUGUUUUUAUGAAGGUGAGGAAAGAACAUACCUAAGCUCCGAUUCUUUAGAUCCUUCUGAUAAAAAAUCAAAGAACAAUCCGGUUUUAACACCUGAUUUCUUAAACAGUCUAAAGGUUAAUGGGUUGCCAAAUCAUAGAAUUAGAUUGAAAGUAGGUUGUCCAGUUAUGUUGCUAAGGAAUAUCGAUCCAAGGGGAGGGCUAAUGAAUGGCACUAGGCUGCAGAUUACACAAUUAGCUGAGUUUGUUUUGGAAGCAAUCAUUAUCACAGGAGAUAGAGUUGGGGAUAAAGUCCUUAUACCUAGGGUUUUGAUCACACCUUCAGACACAAAACUACCUUUCAAGAUGCGAAGAAGACAAUUGCCUUUAGUUGUUGCUUUUGCAAUGACUAUAAACAAAAGUCAAGGACAAUCUUUGGAUUAUGUUGGAUUGUAUUUGCCUAGACCAUGUUUCUCACAUGGUCAGCUAUAUGUUGCUGUUUCAAGAGUGACUUCAAAGAAAGGGCUGAAGAUUCUGAUUGUUGAUAAAGAAGGAAGACCUCAAAAGGAAACAGUUAAUGUUGUUUUCAAGGAGGUUUUUCAAAAUUUGUAACCGGGUCUGUUGCAGUUUACCCAUCAAAUUCACAGGUAACAUUUUCCAAACAAAACUAUGUUCAGUGAAUUAAAUUUUACAACUCACUGUAUUAAUAACAUAUUCAGAAAAUCAAACUCUAACUAUAAGUAAUCUAUAUUCUUUUCGAUUACAGGUUUCCAAAAACACAACAAGAAAAACACCAGCUAAGUGCAUAUCACAGAACAACUCUUCGGAUACACAUGCCAUAUGGGAGGAGGAAUACUCAUUCAUUUUCAGAUUUCAGUUUCUGUACUCUUAAUAAUUUUCUACCUUAAAACAACCAUUUCUUUAGUUGUUCACAACGAUUUUUAAUAACAGGUUAUUGACAAUAAUUAUGGUAUUUUCACAAUGUUGAAGUUAUAACUUUUAAUAGUAUAGAUUAUGGUUAGAGGUCUAAUAAGUUAAGUGUACCCCAAUAAGGAAUCUAUAUCUAUAUAUAACUUGAACUGAAAAUUGCAGAAAAUCUCAAAUCCAGAAAAAGUAUUUACUAACCAUGAUUGUUCAGGAACUUCUCUUAUCCAUGUGCGUAUAAAUUUGAAUGUAUUGUACAAUUAAGCCAUGACCGAGUGACACCAUCAAACUGGGCAAACAUUAAA